This 497-nucleotide ribosomal RNA is filed under the name uncultured bacterium. RNAcentral describes it as "partial 16S ribosomal RNA". It matches the Rfam family "Bacterial small subunit ribosomal RNA", at positions 28 to 507 of the family's 1533-position model. The record is from RNAcentral.
GAUGAACGCUGGCGGCGUGCCUAAUACAUGCAAGUCGAGCGAACAGACGAGGAGCUUGCUCCUCUGACGUUAGCGGCGGACGGGUGAGUAACACGUGGAUAACCUACCUAUAAGACUGGGAUAACUUCGGGAAACCGGAGCUAAUACCGGAUAACAUGUUGAACCGCAUGGUUCAACAGUGAAAGACGGUCUUGCUGUCACUUAUAGAUGGAUCCGCGCCGCAUUAGCUAGUUGGUAAGGUAACGGCUUACCAAGGCAACGAUGCGUAGCCGACCUGAGAGGGUGAUCGGCCACACUGGAACUGAGACACGGUCCAGACUCCUACGGGAGGCAGCAGUAGGGAAUCUUCCGCAAUGGGCGAAAUCCUGACGGAGCGACGCCGCGUGAGUGAAGAAGGUCUUCGGAUCGUAAAACUCUGUUAUUAGGGAAGAACAAAUGUGUAAGUAACUAUGCACGUCUUGACGGUACCUAAUCAGAAAGCCACGGCUAACUACGUG